GGGCCAUAAUUCUGUUAAAUUUGGUCGCAGCAAAAAUUCCUUCCUUUACUACCAUCUACACAUUAAGGUUGUUCAUCCCUGUAAGUUUAAGCAAAAUCUGCCAUCCGGUUUAAGAGGAGUUGCGUUCACAAGAUUUCGGGACGUACGGACGGACGGACGGACGGACUGACUGACGGACGGACGGACGGACAAGUGCAACGCUAUAUGCUCCCACAUUGUGGGGGCAUAAAAA
Ruditapes philippinarum (Manila clam) is the source of this 232-nucleotide long non-coding RNA. RefSeq lists it as uncharacterized. The record is from RefSeq and is a predicted model, not a curated record. The transcript is spliced from 2 exons. Lineage: Eukaryota; Metazoa; Mollusca; Bivalvia; Venerida; Veneridae.